Molecule: long non-coding RNA, 1880 nt
Filed under: Monodelphis domestica (gray short-tailed opossum)
Lineage: Eukaryota; Metazoa; Chordata; Mammalia; Didelphimorphia; Didelphidae
Description: lncRNA (ENSMODG00000051187.1)
Source: RNAcentral
UUAUAUUUCUUUUUUUUUAAAUAUAUUUUAUUUGAUCAUUUCCAAGCAUUAUUCGUUAAAGAUCAUUUUCUUUUCCUCCCCCCCACCCCCCAUAGCCGACCCGUAAGUCCACUGGGCAUUAGAUGUUUUCUUGAUUUGAACCCAUUGCUUUGUUGAUAGUAUUUGCACUAGAGUGUUCAUUUAGAGUCGGUCCUCUGUCAUGUCCCCUCAACCUCUGUAUUCAGGCAGUUGCUUUUCCUCUGUGUUUCCACUCCCAUAGUUUAUCCUUUGCUUAUGAAUGGUGUUUUUUUCUCCUGGAUCCCUGCAAGUUGUUCAGGGACAUUACACCGCCACUAAUGGAGAAGUCCAUUACGUUCGAUUAUACCACAGUGUAUUAGUCUCUGUGUACAAUGUUCUCCUGGUUCUGCUCCUCUCGCUCUGCAUCACUUCCUGGAGGUUGUUCCAGUCUCCAUGGAACUUCUCCACUUUAUUAUUCCUUUUAGCACAAUAGUACUCCAUCACCAACAUAUACCACAGUUUGUUCAGCCAUUCCCCAAUUGAUGGGCAUCCCCUCGUUUUCCAGUUUUGGGCCACCACAAAGAGCACAGCUAUGAAUAUUUUUGUACAAGUCUUUUUGUCCAUUAUCUCUUUGGGGUACAGACCCAGCAGUGCUAUGGCUGGGUCAAAGGGUAGAUAUUCUUUUGUCGCCCUUUGGGGUACAGACCCAGCAGUGCUAUGGCUGGGUCAAAGGGUAGAUAUUCUUUUGUCGCCCUUUGGGCAUAGUUCCAAACUGCCCUCCAGAAUGGUUGGAUCAGUUCACAACUCCACCAGCAAUGAAUUAAUGUCCCUACUUUGCCACAUCCCCUCCAGCAUUCAUUACCUUCCUUUGCUGUUAUGUUAGCCAAUCUGCUAGGUGUGAGGUGAUACCUCAGAGUUGUUUUGAUUUGCAUCUCUCUGAUUAUAAGAGAUGUAGAACACUUCUUCAUGUGCUUGUUAAUAGUUUUGAUUUCUUUAUCUGAGAACUGCCUAUCCAUUUAAGGGUAGAUAUUCUUUUGUCGCCCUUUGGGCAUAGUUCCAAAUUGCCCUCCAGAAUGGUUGGAUCAAUUCACAACUCCACCAGCAAUGAAUUAAUGUCCCUACUUUGCCACAUCCCCUCCAGCAUUCAUUACUUUCCUUUGCUGUUAUGUUAGCCAAUCUGCUAGGUGUGAGGUGAUACCUCAGAGUUGUUUUGAUUUGCAUCUCUCUGAUUAUAAGAGAUGUAGAACACUUCUUCAUGUGCUUGUUGAUAGUUUUGAUUUCUUUAUCUGAGAACUGCCUAUCCAUUUAAAGGUAGAUAUUCUUUUGUCGCCCUUUGGGCAUAGUUCCAAAUUGCCCUCCAGAAUGGUUGGAUCAAUUCACAACUCCCACCAGCAAUGAAUUAAUGUCCCUACUUUGCCACAUCCCCUCCCAGCAUUCAUUACUUUCCUUUGCUGUUAUGUUAGCCAAUCUGCUAGGUGUGAGGUGAUACCUCAGAGUUGUUUUGAUUUGCAUCUCUCUGAUUAUAAGAGAUGUAGAACACUUCUUCAUGUGCUUGUUAAUAGUUUUGAUUUCUUUAUCUGAGAACUGCCUAUCCAUUUAAGGGUAGAUAUUCUUUUGUCGCCCUUUGGGCAUAGUUCCAAAUUGCCCUCCAGAAUGGUUGGAUCAAUUCACAACUCCACCAGCAAUGAAUUAAUGUCCCUACUUUGCCACAUCCCCUCCAGCAUUCAUUACUUUCCUUUGCUGUUAUGUUAGCCAAUCUGCUAGGUGUGAGGUGAUACCUCAGAGUUGUUUUGAUUUGCAUCUCUCUGAUUAUAAGAGAUGUAGAACACUUCUUCAUGUGCUUGUUGAUAGUUUUGAUUUCUUUAUCUGAGAACUGCCUAUCC